UUUCCGUAGGUGAACCUGCGGAAGGAUCAUUAGUGAAUAACCGAGGUGCGCGGGCUAGAGAUGACCCGAAAGGACGUGCACGCACGGGUGCCCUCACACAACUUCAUACCACCCAUAUGUGAACACCCGCGUGCGUCCCCCCUUGGCUUGUUCGGAGAGGGUCUUACGUUUUCACACAAUCUUUGUAUUCGGUGUAGAAUGUAUUUUAUCUUUUAACAACGACGCAAUCAAUACAACCUUCAAUAACGAAUCCAUUCGCUCUCGCAUCGCUGAAGAACC
Molecule: unclassified non-coding RNA, 279 nt
Filed under: plant metagenome
Description: partial contains small subunit ribosomal RNA, internal transcribed spacer 1, and 5.8S ribosomal RNA
Source: RNAcentral